This is a non-coding RNA of Anas platyrhynchos (mallard), 1579 nucleotides long. The record is from RefSeq and is a predicted model, not a curated record. Lineage: Eukaryota; Metazoa; Chordata; Aves; Anseriformes; Anatidae.
UUAAGAAUAAUUAAAAAAAUAAUGAAGUUACCACUUAAAAGUUCCCUUCCUUAUCCUUCAGCUCUCAUGUUUCUACUGCCACAGUUAUUUAGACAUGUAAGACAGAUCAUGAGGAGAUGAAGACACAUGCAGAGAAAUCAAGGGAUACUGAUCACCUGAAUUGUGGAAGUAACUGUUUUGAACUAAAAUUAGAGCUGCUUUUCUCUUUGGGUUCAGGAUUCGAGUAACCUUAUCUGAAAUCAUAACGCUUAUGUAAACUCUCCCCAUUCCCCUUCCCCCUCACCUUCUACCUUUGGAUUUCCAUGUGAUGGUGCAGCCUGAUGAAGAUUCUCAGGUUUGAUUUUCAGCCAGGUAAGUUCAUCUGGAAAUCUGAAGGUUGCUGCUUACCCCAGCUGCCAGGCCUUUGUGGGACUUGCCCAGCCAUCUGCAAUUCAUUGGCUGCUCUUCUGCUGACAUACACAAAGACAGCAUGGGCAGAAAGUCCAACUACGUGUUUACCUUCAAACAGAUGGUUGGACCUGACUUCUGAUGAGCUCCUGUUGGCUCUGGUAGGGCCUGGCCAGCUCUGGGUGCUGGCCCUCAGCUCAGCUGUCUCCAGCAUGGGACUAGGGUGCUUAGCACCCAGAAUGGAGGAGGAGAAAGAAGACUUGAAAUAGUUGUGAUCUUUGGCUCCCAGCCAAUGAAGCUUGGCUAUCUCUAGAGGAGGGGAAGUUUGAAUAAAUUAUCCAAGUUACUGAAGAGAUUAUUACUCCCUCUGGGCCUUCUCUGGGGAAGGUGAUGAUGGGAGAGCACGGGAAAGGAAGCAGUUGAAGUCUGUUAGAGAGGAGGCUUGUGCUCAGCAUUGAGCCAUCCUAAAAAAAACAUCCCAUGCAAAGUGUGUGAAGUGAAAGCACCCAGCAGAGUGUUUAUUUUUUAUUUAUUUUUAUUUUUGGCUUCACAUCUGUGGUCCUUAAAUAUGGCAGAACCUAGUGGCAGGGUAUAGAAGAAAGGUUUCUGGGACUUUCUGAUGGCUUUUUGCCCUGUUACCAAUGAGGGGCUUUCUGGCGACAGGUUCAGAUUGGAAAGGUCUGCAUCCCUGUAUACUGUGGUCUGCACAAGAGCUGGAAAACCAGCACUCUGACUUGUGAACUGCCCCCUCAUUUCAGAGGGAACCCAACUUAGAUAUUCGGUGGGGCCAGCACCCUGACUGCCAUCUCUUCUGCGGCUUGUGUGGGAUGAAGCAAGCGAGUGUUUGGAAGGACAGAGAAGGUGCAGAGGAGAAGGACCAGGACCUACACGUUCCCUGCUCCAAUAAGAGAACAACAACUGGGAUUUUCCUUCCUAAAAGAUUGGCAAGGUCUCGUUGGAGCUAAGCCAGGCAUGCAGGGCAUCCAGAGGAAUUGACUCCUUUAGCCUCUUCCAUCUCAGAGGCCACCUCAGCUCUCAUACCAUCCUGAUGGUUCCUACUCCUGGGUUUUGAUGACUUUACCUUUAAGAUUACCAAACUGAUUUGCUAGGAGUAGCAAUUUGUUAAUCCAGUGUGUUAUAUCUUGGUGGUACAAGACAUGAAAAGUUAAAUAAAAACAAAAUGGAUUAAAUA